UACGUAAGGGGCUAGCGUUGUCCGGAAUCAUUGGGCGUAAAGAGCGUGUAGGCGGCCAAACAGGUCCGUUGUGAAAACUGGAGGCUCAACCUCCAGACGUCGACGGAAACCGUGUGGCUAGAGUCCGGAAGAGGAGAGUGGAAUUCCUGGUGUAGCGGUGAAAUGCGCAGAUAUCAGGAAGAACACCAAUGGCGAAGGCAGCUCUCUGGGACGGUACUGACGCUGAGACGCGAAAGCGUGGGGAGCGAACAGG
Molecule: ribosomal RNA, 253 nt
Filed under: uncultured bacterium
Lineage: Bacteria
Description: partial 16S ribosomal RNA
Rfam family: Bacterial small subunit ribosomal RNA
Source: RNAcentral